AAAUCGCAAAUUGAUCUACCAAGUAAAAUUACAUAAGAAAAACUCCACCACGAUCAAAUAUAAAUAACCCAUGGGAUCUCCAUUCCUGUUCUCCAUCAGUUAUGUUCACCGUACACAACUUAUAACUGUGCCUGGCUAUAUUCUGGCAGUUGGCUAAGGCACAUUUAAUGAGCAUGUUUGCUGAAAUACAAUCAUUCAGAUAACAAAUGUUUCAAGUUGCUAAAAUCUGGAACUUGCAUUAUGCAUCUCCACUUUUUUGUUAUGCUAG
This 268-nucleotide long non-coding RNA is filed under the name Actinidia chinensis (golden kiwifruit). RNAcentral describes it as "long non-coding RNA (ACHI_LNC004092)". The record is from RNAcentral. Lineage: Eukaryota; Viridiplantae; Streptophyta; Magnoliopsida; Ericales; Actinidiaceae.